This is a small nuclear RNA of Octodon degus (degu), 103 nucleotides long. Lineage: Eukaryota; Metazoa; Chordata; Mammalia; Rodentia; Octodontidae. The record is from Ensembl.
UUUCUUUGGCAGCACAUAUACUAGAAUUGGAACAAUACAGAGAAGAUUGGUCUGGCCCCUGCGCAAGGAUGACGCACAAAUUCAUGAAACGUUCCAUAUUUUU